GACGUAGGGCGCGAGCGUUGUCCGGAUUUAUUGGGCGUAAAGAGCUCGUAGGCGGCUUGUCGCGUCGUCCGUGAAAACUUGGGGCUCAACCCCAAGCUUGCGGUCGAUACGGGCAGACUGGAGUACUGCAGGGGAGACUGGAACUCCUGGUGUAGCGGUGGAAUGCGCAGAUAUCAGGAGGAACACCGGUGGCGAAGGCGGGUCUCUGGGCCAUUACUGACACUGAGAAGCGAAAGCAUGGGGAGCGAACAGG
This 253-nucleotide ribosomal RNA is filed under the name uncultured bacterium. RNAcentral describes it as "partial 16S ribosomal RNA". It matches the Rfam family "Bacterial small subunit ribosomal RNA", at positions 524 to 776 of the family's 1533-position model. The record is from RNAcentral.